RNAcentral lists this ribosomal RNA (429 nucleotides) under Chloroflexota bacterium. RNAcentral's name for it is "Chloroflexi bacterium partial 16S ribosomal RNA". It matches the Rfam family "Bacterial small subunit ribosomal RNA", at positions 355 to 776 of the family's 1533-position model. Lineage: Bacteria; Bacillati; Chloroflexota. The record is from RNAcentral.
UAGGGAAUCUUCGGCAAUGGACGAAAGUCUGACCGAGCAACGCCGCGUGAGUGAAGAAGGUUUUCGGAUCGUAAAACUCUGUUGUUAGAGAAGAACAAGGACGUUAGUAACUGAACGUCCCCUGACGGUAUCUAACCAGAAAGCCACGGCUAACUACGUGCCAGCAGCCGCGGUAAUACGUAGGUGGCAAGCGUUAAUCGGAAUUACUGGGCGUAAAGCGCACGCAGGCGGUCUGUCAAGUCGGAUGUGAAAUCCCCGGGCUCAACCUGGGAACUGCAUUCGAAACUGGCAGGCUAGAGUCUUGUAGAGGGGGGUAGAAUUCCAGGUGUAGCGGUGAAAUGCGUAGAGAUCUGGAGGAAUACCGGUGGCGAAGGCGGCCCCCUGGACAAAGACUGACGCUCAGGUGCGAAAGCGUGGGGAGCAAACAGG